RNAcentral lists this long non-coding RNA (1031 nucleotides) under Ananas comosus (pineapple). RNAcentral describes it as "long non-coding RNA (ACOM_LNC018524)". Lineage: Eukaryota; Viridiplantae; Streptophyta; Magnoliopsida; Poales; Bromeliaceae. The record is from RNAcentral.
AUAAUAGAGAGAGAGAGAGAGAGAGAGAGAGAGAGAGAGAGAGAGAGAGAGAGACGUUGUCAUCUAUUUAUUUUCGAUGAUGGAGCCUCCAAAUCAACAAUUGGCACCGUUGAACAUGAUCUAUAUCACUUGAAGUAUCUAGAAAUCAAACUUCAUGUUUUUUCGAUAUUGUUCUCUUGUCCAUCAAGUGGGCGUAAAAAUGAACGACUGAAAAAGAAUAUCCUCUAAAAAUUGACGAUAGGAAUUUUGUAAUCAAGAUCGAGAGUAUAGAUUUUGUUCUAAAUAGUUUAAAAAAUUUUCUAACUAAAAUUCAAUUGAUUUGUAUAGCUUUACACCAUUAAACGUAAAAACGGCUCAUAUAUAUCUACUAUUAAAAUUACAAAUUUGGAAACCCUUUGAUCAUUAAACUAGGAUUCAAACUUGGGACCUCGGAUACCAACCACCAAGCCUUUUGCCACUUGCGCUAGGGACAGUCGAUGAUAUCAAAAAGAUCUGAAAUCUGAUUUCUAUAUACUUCAAGUGGUAUAGAUUAUUCAACGAUACCGAUCAUCAAUUUGGAGGCUCCAUCAUCGAAAACAAAUGGGUGGCAUGUUACCGAUAAUAUUUCAGCUCAAUUAUAUAUAUAUAUAUAUAUAGUUGAGCUAGAAUACUCUUAAAAACACUAUGAAGGUGGUGCUUUUGAGUUUUUAGUAAUUGGAUGGAGAUAGGUAAGGUUGAGAUGAUGGUGGUAGGUGGAAUAGUAUUUGAUCUAAAGGCUAUUAGUAAUCAAGGAGUAGAUCCAAGAACUAGAAACUUAGAAGCACCAAGUGAUAUAUUGGUGCUUCUAAAAAUAUUCUAGCUCAAUUUUAUAUAUAUAUAUAUAUAUAUAUAUAUAUAUAUAUAUAUAUAUAUAUAGAGAGAGAGAGAGAGAGAGAGAGAGAGAGAGAGAGAGAGAGAGAGAGAGGCAGUGAUGUUUUGUUUUUAAAUCAUGGUGAAUGGAGUGAUGUAGAAAGAUGGAGGAGUGAUGUUAGGCAUGGAUGUAGAGAUUGAUG